Atta colombica is the source of this 718-nucleotide long non-coding RNA. RefSeq lists it as uncharacterized. The transcript has 3 exons. Lineage: Eukaryota; Metazoa; Arthropoda; Insecta; Hymenoptera; Formicidae. The record is from RefSeq and is a predicted model, not a curated record.
CUAUUGAUCGCGCGAUGCACCAUUAGAAUCCAGUCGCUUCCAAAUCGCGGAUCAAGCUGAUUUUCCUGAUUGUCCUCGUCGCCCACGUCAAGCAAUUAUUUCCUAAUAUUUCAAUGCAGCAUGUAAAAUGCCUAUCGUGUACUCUCGAUGUCCGCACCGCUACCUUCCUCGCUCUGCUUCCACUCUCGGCUCUCCUCCAGCUUCUUUCCUCCACCGUUUCUUUUUCUCGAUAAGAAAAGGAGGAGUUUGCCUGCAUACCUCGAAGCUAUGCUACACAGAUGCAGGCAGAGCGUCAGAGAGAAACGAUGUACUUAUACGGACGCUGAGAAAAAAAGGAGAGAGGUUUGAUGACCUUUAUGCGCCGGGAGAGAUUAGGUGAAUUGUAGGCGCGCCAGUACAGAUAGACCAUGGGGGAUCAGCCAAUGUGGAAUAGCUUAAAGAAGAUAUAAGGCGAGUCGCGGUGGCGCCGUGCUCGAGAAUUUACACGACAUACCUCUGGCGAGUUACAGCACAUAAAUGGACAUAGGGUAAACGAAAAAGGAACAAAAAGAGAAAGUCGCGACGAAAGCUAUUGGACUACCUGAGACAUCCGAUCAUAAAUCACUUGUCAAAAUACACUUGAAUGUAAGAAACAGGACAUUCGGUCGACUCCACUUUUAAUAAUUGCCGAUGAUGAAUGAAUGACUGAGCCUAAGGCUCUAACGAGCCUGACAAUGAC